CAGGACGAACGCUGGCGGCGUGCCUAACACAUGCAAGUCGAGCGGGGACAUGCGACGGAUCGGAAGUUUCGGAUGGAAGAGAAGAUGUAUGUUCUAGCGGCGGACGGGUGAGUAACGCGUGAGCAACCUGUCCUUCACAGGGGGAUAACACAGUGAAAGUUGUACUAAUACCGCAUAAGACCACAGUGAGACAUCUCAGAGGGGUCAAAGGAGCAAUCCGGUGAAGGGUGGGCUCGCGUCCGAUUAGAUAGUUGGUGAGGUAACGGCCCACCAAGUCGACGAUCGGUAGCCGACCUGAGAGGGUGAUCGGCCACAUUGGGACUGAGACACGGCCCAACUCCUACGGGAGGCAGCAGUGGGGAAUAUUGGGCAAUGGGGGGAAACCCUGACCCAGCAACGCCGCGUGAGGGAAGAAGGUUUUCGGAUCGUAAACCUCUGUCCUUGGUGAAGAGGAAGAGACGGUAGCCAAGGAGGAAGCCCCGGCUAACUACGUGCCAGCCGCUGC
RNAcentral lists this ribosomal RNA (505 nucleotides) under uncultured bacterium. RNAcentral's name for it is "bacterial SSU rRNA". It matches the Rfam family "Bacterial small subunit ribosomal RNA", at positions 25 to 518 of the family's 1533-position model. The record is from RNAcentral.